GUGCUUGCUUCAGCAGCACAUAUACUAAAAUUGGAACAGUACAGAGAAGAUUAGCAUGGCCCCUGCACAAGGAUGACACGCAAAUUCGUGAAGCGUUCCGAACUUUU
Molecule: small nuclear RNA, 107 nt
Organism: Catagonus wagneri (Chacoan peccary)
Lineage: Eukaryota; Metazoa; Chordata; Mammalia; Artiodactyla; Tayassuidae
Source: Ensembl